UACAGAGGUCCCAAGCGUUGUUCGGAUUCACUGGGCGUAAAGGGCGCGUAGGCGGCUUGAUGUGUCAAAGGUGAAAUCCCUCGGCUCAACUGAGGAACUGCCUUUGAAACUGUCUGGCUUGAGGCCGGGAGAGGGUAGCAGAAUUCCAGGUGCAGCGGUGAAAUGCGUAGAUAUCUGGAGGAAUACCGGUGGCGAAGGCGGCAUCCUGGACCGACAUUGACGCUGAUGAGCGAAAGCUAGGGGAGCAAACGGG
Molecule: ribosomal RNA, 253 nt
Filed under: uncultured bacterium
Lineage: Bacteria
Description: partial 16S ribosomal RNA
Rfam family: Bacterial small subunit ribosomal RNA
Source: RNAcentral